Long non-coding RNA from Hydractinia symbiolongicarpus, 2087 nucleotides. RefSeq lists it as uncharacterized. The transcript has 2 exons. The record is from RefSeq and is a predicted model, not a curated record. Lineage: Eukaryota; Metazoa; Cnidaria; Hydrozoa; Anthoathecata; Hydractiniidae.
UAAUUGAACUGAUUUUGAACUUUGACCUUAUAAAUGUGAUAAUUGAGCCAGUUUGACUACAAGAAAUAACAUUCUUCUUAAUUUGACAUGAUUGCUGGAACUCAGCGAUUACACUGGUAGCUGUGGCAGCGCUUUAUUAAAAAUUUAAAUAAAAAAGUCAUUUUUUACUGUGGGACCAAUCCCAGCCGUUAGUUCGCGCUGAAGAAUUAAAGACAGUUUCAAAAACUACAUUAUUAUUAAGCGAUAUUAUCAAGUUGUAUCGCUUUUAACUGUGAAACGAUUGACUCUGGGAAUUAAUUGAACUGAAUCCGUACUGUGACCUUAGAAAUGUGAUAAAUGAGCCAAUUGGACUCCAAGAAGUUACAUUCUUCUUAAAUUGACAUGAUUGCUGGAAUUCAGCGAAUACACUAGGCUCUGCGGUAGCGCUUUAUUUAAAAAUUGAGAUAAAUAAGUCUUUUUUUACUGUGGGACCAAUCCUGGCCGUUAGCACGCACUGAAGAAAUAGAGACAUUCUCAAAAACUACAUUUCAUUGAUUUCUUGGCGGUAUCAAUCCGUUUCAGUAGGCUGUUCAGUCACGUGACAAUUCUUGCCGUCAAAAAAAAUCUCGGCGCGGCGGAAGAUGAGAACUUCAAAAUUUUUAAAGGUGAGCGUAUGGCACCUUAGCAUUUGGGUACUUUUCUUGCACUAAACCAAUUUAGGCCGGUUUAUGUUGGGUACCUAUGCAAAGGUAGAUGAUUUUCUGAGGUAAACAAAGAUGAAAAUCCCGGUUUCUGUUUGAGGAAGUAAAAAAAUCAGGUAAAUAAAAACUUCAUAUUUUGAGAAAAAGUACUAGAUUUUAACUAUUUUUUGAUUUUCACUCAGGGAAACACUCUUCAAUGACACUUUUGUUGUGGUUGCUUUUUCACUUAUGUUGGGGUCUGGUCUGUAAAUUGGAAAUAUAACGAAACAGCACAAUAUAUUUUGCUAGCAAUUAUAUAUUUUAUUUUAUCCAAUUAUUCAUAUGUAUUUGAUGAGUUUUCACCAUUUUGGCCUUCACUUCUUACUUCUGUGAAUCAUAAUAAAUCUAGUCUCUAAAAUGUGAUUCUGAUAACUGAGCACACAAUAAUUUUUUUCCAAGUUGCAGUAAUAUUAUUUAUUAACUAAAUUAUUUAUAUUUGCACAUGUAGUCAAUGAUUUUUCACAAUUUUGGUCUUUUUGUCAAGUCUGUAAAUUACAUUAAAUCUGGUCUGUAAAAUAUACAUUUUGAGAUUUAACAUGAUACUUCAUAUAAUUUAUUUGAUAAGUAUUGGUCAUACUAUCAUGCCUAUUUAUUUGCACUUUUUGUUUGACUGUUUUUGCUUUUUUUGAGCAUAUUCCGCAUCUGGUUUGGAAAUUACAAAGAAUCUGGUCUAUAGAAUAUACUUUCAGAAUAUCUCAUGACACUCCCACUUUUUUUUUAAAAAAAAUAUUUAUUCUAUUCUGAUUUUUUUCUGCUCCCACAUUUCCUUGAGAAGUUUUUACUGUUUUGGUUAUAUUUUAGGUCUGUAAAUUACAAAAAAUGUGGUCUGUAAAAUGUAUUUAUUAAAGGAUCACGUGAUACCUCAUAAUUGUAUUUUCCUUAACUGAGAGACCUAAAAACCAUCCUAAUUAUUCAUAUUUACACACGUAGUCAAUGAUUUUUCACGAUUUUGGUCUUUUUUUGUCAAGUCUGUAAAUUACACUAAAUCUGGUCUGUAAAAUAUACAUUUCGAGUUUUAACAUGGUACUUUAUAUAUAUAAUUUAUUUUGAUAAGUAGUGAUCAUACUAUUAUGUCUCUUUAAUAAUAUUCGCAUUUUUUAUAUGAUCGUUUUUGCUAUUUUGGACAUAUUUUGGGCCUGGUCUGGAAAUUACAAAAAAUCUGGUCCGUAAAAUGUACUUCUUGAAGAAUCACGUGAUACCUCAUAAUUUAUUUUUAAACAAAGUGGUAUUUUAAGUAGCCUAGUUAUGCAUUUGCGUGUGUUUUAUUGACGAUUUCCUGUUAUAUUCCUAAAAUUUAUGACCAUAUUUUGUAAUGUAAUUUUGCGCAUGCGCAAUAGCAUUUGGUAAAAUAUACGACCUAAUCAUAUA